UUAAAGAUCUAUAUAAGUACAACAAAUUGAAUCAAAUAAACAAAACAUAGUACUUUUAAAAUAUAAAGUGAUCAAUACAUUUCUAUCUGUUGUAAGCUUAAUUAGGAAGAAAAAUAUGGCUGAAAUUAUAAAGUUUAUUUAUUUAAUGAUCUUCUUUAUUUCCUUAUCUUAUGUAGUGGUUGAAGUUGCUGGAUCACAGGAAAUGGAUUUAAUUUGCCAAUUUAGCAGUGAUUGUGAAAAAUUUAAGUGCCAUGGUCUUACGGUUCCAACAUGCAUUACUCGUCAUUGUAGAUGUUGUUAUGUAAUGAAGCCCAUAGGAUAUGAAUGAAAGUAAUUCUAUUAGUAGUGAAAUGAAAUUGAUGGUAAAACAAACAAUAUGUUGAAGGACUUUGUGUAAUGAGGCAGCUAUAAAUAAUUGUAAUAAUUUGGAUUAGUCGGUCCUAAGACCGGAUACCAUGUUUUCAAAAAAAAUAAAUAAAUAAUUGUAAUAAGGAUCUUUGUUAGUCAUGCAUGAAUUGGGAAGUUUAAAUAAUAUUAUUGAAGUCUCAUCAAUCAA
This is a long non-coding RNA of Trifolium pratense (red clover), 556 nucleotides long. RefSeq lists it as uncharacterized. Lineage: Eukaryota; Viridiplantae; Streptophyta; Magnoliopsida; Fabales; Fabaceae. The record is from RefSeq and is a predicted model, not a curated record. The transcript is spliced from 2 exons.